RNAcentral lists this ribosomal RNA (585 nucleotides) under Chryseolinea sp. Its description in RNAcentral is "bacterial SSU rRNA". It matches the Rfam family "Bacterial small subunit ribosomal RNA", at positions 161 to 745 of the family's 1533-position model. The record is from RNAcentral. Lineage: Bacteria; Pseudomonadati; Bacteroidota; Cytophagia; Cytophagales; Fulvivirgaceae.
AAUUAACCCUCCAUAGGAUCACACGAAGGCAUCUGAGAGUGAUUAAACCAAAAGGGGUUGUGGAUGAGCAUGCGGUUGAUUAGCUAGUUGGUAAGGUAACGGCUUACCAAGGCGAUGAUCAAUAGGGGAACUGAGAGGUUUAUCCCCCACACUGGCACUGAGAUACGGGCCAGACUCCUACGGGAGGCAGCAGUAGGGAAUAUUGGACAAUGGGCGAGAGCCUGAUCCAGCCAUGCCGCGUGCAGGAAGAAGGCCUUCUGGGUUGUAAACUGCUUUUGCCAGGGGAUAAAAGACCCGUGCGCGGGGAAUUGAAGGUACCUGGUGAAUAAGCCACGGCUAACUACGUGCCAGCAGCCGCGGUAAUACGUAGGUGGCAAGCGUUGUCCGGAUUUAUUGGGUUUAAAGGGUGCGUAGGCGGCCCUGUAAGUCAGUGGUGAAAUACGGCAGCUCAACUGUCGAGGUGCCAUUGAUACUGCAGGGCUUGAGUACAGACGAGGUAGGCGGAAUUGACGGUGUAGCGGUGAAAUGCUUAGAUAUCGUCAAGAACACCGAUAGCGAAGGCAGCUUACUAGACUGUAACUGACG